This 435-nucleotide ribosomal RNA is filed under the name uncultured bacterium. Its description in RNAcentral is "partial 16S ribosomal RNA". It matches the Rfam family "Bacterial small subunit ribosomal RNA", at positions 29 to 507 of the family's 1533-position model. The record is from RNAcentral.
AACGAACGCUGGCGGCAGGCUUAACACAUGCAAGUCGAACGCAUGCCUUCGGGCAUGAGUGGCAGACGGGUGAGUAACGCGUGGGAACCUACCCCUUGGUACGGGAUAGCUCCGGGAAACUGGAGAUAAUACCGUAUGUGUCCUGAGGGACAAAGAUUCAUCGCCAAGGGAUGGGCCCGCGUCGGAUUAGCGAGUUGGUGGGGUAACGGCCUACCAAGGCGACGAUCCGUGUCUGGUCUCAGAGGAUGAUCAGCCACAUUGGGACUGAGACACGGCCCAAUCUCGGACGCGAGGCAGGGGUGUGGUGUAUUGUACGAGGAACGCUAAUCUAACCCAGCCGCGUCGCGUGUGUGAUGAAUGGCGUAGGAUUGUAAAGCUCUCUCUCCGGUGACGUUAAUGACGGUAACCGGAAAAGAAGCACCGGCUAACUUCGUG